GUUCCUGUAGCGCAAUGGAUAGCGCGUUGGAGCCCUAAACAAAAAGUCGUGGGUUCAAAUCCCACCAGGGAUG
Non-coding RNA from Trichonephila inaurata madagascariensis, 73 nucleotides. The record is from the annotation of a GenBank genome assembly. Lineage: Eukaryota; Metazoa; Arthropoda; Arachnida; Araneae; Nephilidae.